GAAAUGCGAUAAGUAAUGCGAAUUGCAGAAUUCAGUGAGUCAUCGAAUCUUUGAACGCACAUUGCGCCCUGUGGUAUUCCGCAGGGCAUGCCUGUUCGAGCGUCAUUUCAACCCUCAAGCUCUGCUUGGUGUUGGGCCAUGCCCUUGCGGCCGGCCCUAAAGCCAGUGGCGGUGCCGUCCGGCUCUAAGCGUAGUACACCUCUCGCUCUAGGGCCCCGCGGUUGCCUGCUAGAACCCAAACUCUUAUGGUUGACCUCGGAUCAGGUAGGGAUACCCGCUGAACUUAA
This 287-nucleotide unclassified non-coding RNA is filed under the name uncultured Myxotrichaceae. RNAcentral's name for it is "sequence contains ITS1". The stretch from base 1 to 105 matches the Rfam family "5.8S ribosomal RNA", at positions 50 to 154 of the family's 154-position model. Lineage: Eukaryota; Fungi; Ascomycota; Leotiomycetes; Myxotrichaceae. The record is from RNAcentral.